UAGGGAAUCUUCGGCAAUGGACGAAAGUCUGACCGAGCAACGCCGCGUGAGUGAAGAAGGUUUUCGGAUCGUAAAACUCUGUUGUUAGAGAAGAACAAGGACGUUAGUAACUGAACGUCCCCUGACGGUAUCUAACCAGAAAGCCACGGCUAACUACGUGCCAGCAGCCGCGGUAAUACGUAGGUGGCAAGCGUUGUCCGGAUUUAUUGGGCGUAAAGCGAGCGCAGGCGGUUUCUUAAGUCUGAUGUGAAAGCCCCCGGCUCAACCGGGGAGGGUCAUUGGAAGCUGGGAGACUUGAGUGCAGAAGAGGGGAGUGGAAUUCCAUGUGUAGCGGUGAGAUGCGUAGAUAUAUGGAGGAACACCAGUGGCGAAGGCGGCUCUCUGGUCUGUAGCUGACGCUGAGGCUCGAAAGCGUGGGGAGCAAACAGG
Molecule: ribosomal RNA, 429 nt
Filed under: Gemmatimonadota bacterium
Lineage: Bacteria; Pseudomonadati; Gemmatimonadota
Description: Gemmatimonadetes bacterium partial 16S ribosomal RNA
Rfam family: Bacterial small subunit ribosomal RNA
Source: RNAcentral